CACUGCUACUGUAGAACUCAUUGCCUAUACAUUUCACAUUAGGCAUUCCACUCAUCUCUAGAAUCUCAAGGCGAGAAAAACAUCCAAGUAUUGGGAGUUGUCUGCAGUUGCUGCAAUCUUUCAAUCUCAGACCAUCAGAUUAUUGAGCUGCAACAUAGACAUCCAUGAUGGGAACUUUUCACCACAGUAACCCUCAAUUGUUAAGCUUCUUAUGUCUGGGUGAGGCUGUAGAGCAUCCAGCACAUCCUCGAUGUUAACACUGCUGUUACCUUCAUCACUCCAUUUAAACACCAAUUUG
This 298-nucleotide long non-coding RNA is filed under the name Populus tremula. RNAcentral's name for it is "long non-coding RNA (PTRE_LNC002952)". The record is from RNAcentral. Lineage: Eukaryota; Viridiplantae; Streptophyta; Magnoliopsida; Malpighiales; Salicaceae.